RNAcentral lists this unclassified non-coding RNA (1930 nucleotides) under Hevea brasiliensis (rubber tree). Lineage: Eukaryota; Viridiplantae; Streptophyta; Magnoliopsida; Malpighiales; Euphorbiaceae. The record is from RNAcentral.
UUCUUUUUGAGCAGAGAAAAACAGUCAGAUAAAGUGAUUGCUGAGUGGAGUUUACGGCUUUUUCUUCUUUUCUGCUAUGGGGUUCUGAAAGAUUGAUUCUUGAUCGACUUAUUUGAUAUACUCUUCUGUUAAGAAAGAGAAAGUUGAGUUUUUUGCUGUUUCAAUAUUCAAAAUUCAAAAGCUAUGGACUUUUCGUCUAUAUUUUGCUGUGUCAAGGGUUCAGAUCGAAAGGGGCAAGCGAAGAAGCAGCCAACAUGGAGGGUUUUUUCUCUGAAGGAGUUGCACUCUGCUACGAAUAAUUUUAACUAUGAUAACAAGCUUGGAGAAGGUGGUUUUGGAAGUGUUUACUGGGGGCAGCUCUGGGAUGGAUCUCAGAUAGCAGUCAAAAGGCUAAAGGUGUGGAGCAACAAAGCUGAGAUGGAAUUUGCUGUUGAAGUUGAAAUUCUGGCUAGAGUACGACACAAAAAUCUUCUAAGUUUACGCGGUGACCAUACCAAACAAAACACAAACUUGUAUCAGUAUAUUCAAUAUUUCAAUAUGGGAACCCUAUACCAACCUCUUGAAUCAACAAUCCAAGACCUAAAAGUCACAAUCCAUAACACUAGCUUAGUCUUCCCAUCACAAGAAACUCCAAAAAAACCUAUGUUCUUACCAAAUAUUGAUCAAGUCCUCAAUUUUGAUGUCCAAACACUACAUUUUUUCAAUGCAAAUCCUGAAUUUCCACCAGAAAUUGUGACGGAACGACUCCGAAUCGCGUUAUCUAGGGUUCUUGUUCCUUAUGAUUUUUUGGCUGGGAGACUUAGGAUGAAUCAAGAGUCAAAAAGAUUGGAAUUUGAUUGUAAUAGUGAUGCUGGAGCUGUAUUUAUGGUUGCUUCAAGUGAAUUAACAUUGAAUGAGAUUGGUGAUUUAGUUUACCCUAAUCCUGGUUUUAGACAAUUAAUUGUUCAUGAGAACAUUGAUAUUUUGGAAAAAGAUGAUAAACCACUUUGCAUUCUCCAGGUUACAUCAUUUAAGUGUGGUGGUUUUGCAAUGGGCUUUUCAACAAACCACAUAACCUUUGAUGGAAUAAGCUUCAAGACUUUCUUACAAAACUUAGCUUCUCAAGCAUUUGAUGAUGACAACAAUAACCCUAAGCCCUUAGCCAUUGUCCCAUGCAAUGAUCGUACCCUCCUAGCCGCUCGUAGGCCUCCACGUGUCACGUUCCCACACGUCGAAUUACUCAAAUUGGAUGUCCCCAUUGGUGAAGAACUAAAUGCUAAAGUAUUUGAAACCCUACAAGAAGAACUUGACUUCAAAAUAUUUAAGUUCAAUCCAAGUGACAUUAAUUCCUUGAAGGAAAAGGCAAAAGACGAAAAUACCCCUAACGCGAAAAUCACGAGUUUUAAUGUGGUAACUUCUUACGUAUGGAGGUGUAAGGCGUUAUCGUAUGAUGAUGAGAACAAUUCAGAGCGAGUUUCAACUGUUUUAUUCGCGGUUGAUAUCAGACCUAGGUUAAAUCCACCAUUGCCACAAUCUUACGCUGGCAACGCUGUGCUGACGUCCUACGCGUCAGCCACGUGUCACGAGCUUGAAGAAGGGCCUUUUAGUAAAAUUGUUGAUUUAGUGUCACAAGGGGGUAAAAGAAUGGAUGAUGAAUAUGCAAGAAGUGCAAUUGAUUGGGGUGAGAUUAACAAAGGAUUUCCAAAUGGGGAAUUUUUGCUUUCAUCAUGGUGGAAAUUAGGGUUUUCACAAGUUGAAUACCCUUGGGGUAAACCAAAAUAUAGUUGUCCUGUGGUUUGUCAUAGAAAAGAAAUUAUAUUAUUAUUCCCAAAUAUUGAUGAUGGUAAAAGCAACAACAAUGAUGGGGUUAAUAUAUUUGUGGCUCUUCCUCCCAAGCAAAUGAACAAAUUUGAGUCUUAUUUUAACAAGUUUUUGUUGGAUUGAGAUUUUG